CUCGCCUGUGUUGCCGCCGUGGCCUUCGCCGCCCCCCAGUACAGCUCCAGCGAGGAGGCUGAGUUUAUCCCAAUCCUCAAGGACGACCGCGUCCACGAGGAAGACGGAACUUACAGCUUCGACUUCGAAACUGCCAACGGCAUCAGCUUCUCCCAGGCUGGAUCCCCCGACGGCGAUGAGGACGCUGUGAUCAAGGCCGGAGAAUACUCCUACACCGCUCCUGACGGCACUGAAAUCCAUCUCCGCUUCGUGGCUGACGACAACGGCUUCCAGCCCGAGGGCGACCACCUGCCCGUGGCUCCCGAGUUCCCCCACCCGAUCCCUCAGUUCGUCCUCGACCAGAUCGCUAAAGCCGCCGAGGAGGACGCCGCCCGCGCCGAUUCC
Penaeus vannamei (Pacific white shrimp) is the source of this 384-nucleotide non-coding RNA. The record is from RefSeq and is a predicted model, not a curated record. NCBI's taxonomy places the organism in Eukaryota, Metazoa, Arthropoda, Malacostraca, Decapoda, Penaeidae.